GCCGGACCAAUGCGUAGCCCGGUAUCUCAGUUGACUGUUAAUCAAUUGGUCGUAGGUUCGAUCCCUACCGCCGGAGCCA
Molecule: transfer RNA, 79 nt
Filed under: Paracoccus yeei
Lineage: Bacteria; Pseudomonadati; Pseudomonadota; Alphaproteobacteria; Rhodobacterales; Paracoccaceae
Description: tRNA-Asn
Rfam family: tRNA (bases 12-71)
About the family: Transfer RNA (tRNA) molecules are approximately 80 nucleotides in length. Their secondary structure includes four short double-helical elements and three loops (D, anti-codon, and T loops).
Source: RNAcentral